UUCUAUUACUUUGUAAAAGCUAUUUUAAAACGUCUAACCAUCUGCUUAAUGGCCAGUAAUACGUUUCUAAUGGUCACUCUUGAUAAGAUACUUUCAAUUUACUACGGUAAUAGUAAUCAAACAACUAAGCGCAUUCUACAGUGAUGCAGCUGAGAUUGUUCACCAGUUUCAUAUCAGCAAAGUGUUAUGUUCUUUGAUGGAAAAAGAACAGUAAUUUUGCAGGUUUUUCUAUUUAAACAGUAUCUUUUUCCAGGUGAAAAAUAUGGGUAUGAAAUGUGAACUUCUGAGAUGUUAUAUAAAUGGAUGGUUUUCAGUACUUAUGGAGCCAGGUGUGGUUACUGCGGUUGUAACAGGGUUAUGAAGAGAACAAAAGUUUGACUGUAUGCCGAAGAUUGAGCACUACAUGAAGUUUUUGUCAGGGGACUUGUUGACCUAAUGUAAAGUUACCUCUUGGAGAAGCUCUUCAUUUCAGGGCUGCAGUUGCUAUGGAAGUUGCACAAACCUAGCAACAGCCGGUGUGUCCUGGCGCAAUGCACUUCAGAAGUUUGGCCUCCAAAUGGGUCUAUUAAUACUGCAAAAUUUACAUUGAGAAGUGUACAGAAAUAACGAACAGACAAGAAAUUGUCAUACAUUUGAAAAACAGAAGAUGCAUUUUUCACAUCUGUAAUGUGUGCCUGCAUGUAUGAAAUGUGGCAUUGUACUUUCUAUACUGUUUGCCUUCAAAUAAAAUUAUUUCUUCUGUAA
This is a non-coding RNA of Meleagris gallopavo (turkey), 744 nucleotides long. The record is from RefSeq and is a predicted model, not a curated record. NCBI's taxonomy places the organism in Eukaryota, Metazoa, Chordata, Aves, Galliformes, Phasianidae.